UCAGCAAAUAGGUUAAUUGAUGGAGUCAUGUACCAGACCGUAAUAUCUUCCUAUCAGGUCACGCACAGAAAAAUAAACCCGAGACUUUGGGAAUUGGCUCACUCAGGCAGGUGUGUUCAAUUGUCAAACUUGGUUGGCUUUCUGGAAGCAAAGAGAUAGACUAAAAUUUAGGGAUUCUUAACUUUUUUGUGUGUGCCAUGGCAAUCCUGUGAAGCUGCUGAAUCCCUUCUCAGAAUAAUGAGAAGUUAAGUUUUAAGUUCACAAAGUACAUAGGAUUACAAAGGAAACCAAUUAUAUUGAAAUUUAAAAAAUACAUUAAUAACGUGUAUUUCUUUAUUAAUACACUAAUAAGAUCUAGCAAGAUUAGGUCUAAUACUAUAAUUUCAAAAAGCUGAUAAAUGUAAGAGAUAUUUUGUGAUGUCCGUAACAUCAGAAAUUUAAUAUGAAAGUAUGUGUAACUUCUGUUGGUGCGAAGUGACAGGUCCUUCUAUCACUAUGAUGUUGCCUUUAUUCAUAAUGGAAAGAAAUGGUAAAUUUUGCUUAGAGGUUAAUGAAAAUGCAGAUAUAAUCUUUCCCCAUCCAAUUUUAGGGAUCUCCACCCCUGCAGUUUUAUCCAUGAGCCAAGGAUCUGCAGACCGCAGGUUAAGAAUACCUGGAUUUGACAAUCUUUUGUAAUUAACAAUGAUGAUAAGUGCCAUUUAUUUAGUACUUACUGUUUGCCUGUUACAAAGCUUAUAUAUAACAUUAUUAAUCUUCAUAGCUAUUUUAUAAGGUAAGCAUUACUCUAUGCACCAGGUGUGGAAAUGAAGGCUUUUGUAGGUUAAUGCCUGAAAAAAAAAUCAAAUUCUUAACUCUCAGAAAUCUAACCACAUUUGUGGUCUUCCAGCUCUGGUUCAAAUGGAAAACACUCUUCGUAUCCCAAAUUGAGGUGUAAAGUUUAGAGCUGGCUCCAAAACAAGGAGCAUCAAAAUAUCUAAAUAAGUGUGCUUUAAAGUAAUUUUAUUAGUUCAAUUUUGUGCCCUAUGUUAAUACUCUAACACUCUAAUUUCUAAAUAAUUUGUAAUCUAGAUAAUGCAUCUCUAUUUGUUUCCUUUCUUUCUUAGUAGAUGUACAUGAGUAUUUUAUAUUACUUUAUUUCUCAGAAGAAGCCAAAGGUGAUCCAGUGAAGAAAAAACUACAAACACAGAGAAAUUAAAAGAAAAAUUCCAGAAAUCUUAGGGUUUCAUGGUCAUUACCCCUGUCAGGAGAACUCACUUUUCUUAGAUUUAGUGUUUGCAUCAGAAACCUUCAGGAGUGAGAAAAAAAAAAAAAAAGAAAGAAAAAAGAAACCCCCAGGAGCUCAGAAAUCUUUAAUCAAAGCCAAUAUGAAUACAGAUUAGAUACAGUUGUGGUUCUUAAGGCUCUUCUAACUCUCAUGAUUCAUAGUCUUUGUGUUUAGACCUGCAGUGUCCAGUACAGAAACCACUAGCCACAUGUGGCCAUUGAGUACUUGCAGUAUAGCUGAUUUAAAUUGGGAUGUGAUGUAAGUAGAAGAUAUACAGUAGGCUUCCAAAGACUAAAUUGUCUUAAUUUCACCUAUUUCGUUUUACCUUUUUAAUGUAGCUACUAAAGACUUAAAAUUACAUGUGGCUCAUGCUCUAUUUCUACUAGAUAGCACUAGUUUAGAGUGAAAGAAUUUGGCCUGUGUGUAAAGUUAUCAUAAAAAGAAUAAACUGAAGCAUUUAAAAUCUAGCAUUUUUAGUUCUAAAUGGUACCAGCCUAGGUUAAGGUAAUUAUUUCUUGUCUUAAUUCAGAAAAGCAUUUUAGAUCACUCACAGAGAACAGUUGUGCUGAGUAAAGGAAUUAUAGAAGAUAAUAAUUAAAAAGCACCUAAAGCUGAAGGUAGAACCCCAAGUCUGGUUCUAACUUUCUGAUAGUUAAGACAAAGAAGAAGUCAGCUAGAAAAUCUUGUCUACAGGAUGAAAACAUACCAGUUGCGCAGGAGGAAUAGCUUUGCCAGGCCCUGAGCCACAGGAGGUAUUAUUCUUGGGCCCUCAUAAAGGGAGCACUGUGAUGUAGUGGAAGCAUCCCUAGCAGUUUGCCCACAAUGAAGGCAAUGGCAUUUCCCCCAAUAAAUUUCUUGCACAUCGAA
Molecule: long non-coding RNA, 2131 nt
Organism: Homo sapiens (human)
Lineage: Eukaryota; Metazoa; Chordata; Mammalia; Primates; Hominidae
Exons: 2
Source: RefSeq, a predicted model, not a curated record